Molecule: long non-coding RNA, 1233 nt
Filed under: Ananas comosus (pineapple)
Lineage: Eukaryota; Viridiplantae; Streptophyta; Magnoliopsida; Poales; Bromeliaceae
Description: long non-coding RNA (ACOM_LNC016630)
Source: RNAcentral
UAAAUUGUUUUCAUUUAAAAACAACAAAAAUAAUAAAAAAUAAGCACCACUUGUGAAUUUUCUUUUUUUUUUUCUUGAUAAAUUACAUUUUACACUCAAAUAAUAGAGAUUUAAUCACCAAACCUGUAAUUUAAAAUGUAUCAUUUUAGUACUAUAUAGUUUCAUUUUUUUUCUUUUCGUUAUUCUCUUUGUUAAUAUUUUCGUUAAAUUAGUGAUAAAAUUAAUACUAUAGGAUAUUAAAGUAAAAAUUCGGUAAACCGCACGAUAUAUUAAAGUGAAUAUUUGAUAAAGUAUGGAUGGAGUAUCCGAAAUUUUUUAUGUAUGAUUUAGCGAAUGAAUGGGUUGACAGAAAAAGAAAAAUAAAAUUAUUGUGUACUAAAAUGAGAAAGUGCAAAAUUAUAGAAAUAAUAUAUGAAGUUUAUCCAAAAAAAAAUCAGAAGGCACUAAAGUGAAGCAAAAGUAGCAAAGAUUUAACGAACGAAAGUGCUGACAGAAAUAAAAUAAAAUAAAAUUAUAAGGUACUGAAAUAAGAAAGUGCAAAAUCAUAUGAAUGAUAUUUGAAGUUUAUCUCUUUUACACAUAAAAGAAUCAUAGGAUUAAUUGGUAACUAAUAAUAAAGUUUAGGGGAAGCGCUUCUUUAAUUUAGAAUCAGUAGCUAUCAAAUGGACGGCGAGGAUGAUCGAGUCGGUAACACGCUUUUGCUUUGCUUGUGGAAAUUGCUAAGGAAUCCAUUACUUUAUUAUCUCUUUGACUCACAUCAUUGAAUUAACGUACUUAGUUUGAAAACAAAUAAGGAAUGGGUCUUCAUAAAUUAGGGGGAUUUUGACACGUUACUGGCAAGAAAUUUGUUGGCAAUCCAGCUCGCGAGCUCAUGUUUCGCUUGAUAUAAGCUCGAGAUUGAUUGUCGGUUUAAUAAACGGGCGAUACAGUGAAUGUGUGAAACAACCAUUGUACUUUAGGGUGCGUUUGGUUCGCAUUAUGAAAGAUUACUAGGAAUAAAAGAUAUCCGAGAAUCUUAUUCCUAUUCAUCCUAUUACUAAGAAUGCGGAAUUCCUAUGUUUGGUUCGCGCGGUAAUAUUAAUUAGCCAUAUUAUUUAAUAUUACAAAAAAUAUACAAUUAAUUAAUUAAUUUAUUUAAUUAAUUUUAGAUAAUGUUACCAAAAGUUUCAACAUCUUUUUAGAAAAAAAAGAGAGAGAGUAUAAGUUAGAGAGAGAGAGCAUAAUUAAAAAAAU